AAGAACUUAGGUUACAAUUUUAAACCACGGGCCUUCAAAGCCCGAAACAGGGCCCACCCUAAACCCUAGUUCUUG
RNAcentral lists this transfer RNA (75 nucleotides) under Acanthodactylus guineensis (Guinea fringe-fingered lizard). RNAcentral describes it as "tRNA-Trp". Lineage: Eukaryota; Metazoa; Chordata; Lepidosauria; Squamata; Lacertidae. The record is from RNAcentral.